CCUACGAGGUGCUGCAGUGAGGAAUAUUGGUCAAUGGACGAGAGUCUGAACCAGCCAAGUAGCGUGAAGGAGGAAUGCACAAUGGGUCGUAAACUUCUUUUAUAUGGGAAUAAAAAGUUCAACGUGUGGCAGUUUGUGUGUACCAUAUGAAAAAGGAUCGGCUAACUCCUUGCCAGCAGCCGCGGUAAUACGGAGGAUCCGAGCGUUCUCCGGAUUUAUUGGGUUUAAAGGGUGCGGAGUUGGAUUGUUAAGUCAGUUGGUAAAGUUUGCGGUGCAACCGUAAAAUUGAAGUUGAAACUGGCAGUCUUGAGUACAGUAGAGGUGUGCGGAAUUCGUGGUGUAGCGGUGAAAUGCUUAGAUAUCACGAAGAACUCCGAUUGCGAAGGCAGCACACUGGAUUGACACUGACACUGAGGCUCGAAAGUGUGGGUAUCAAACAGGAUUAGAUACCCCAGUAGUC
RNAcentral lists this ribosomal RNA (460 nucleotides) under uncultured bacterium. RNAcentral describes it as "partial 16S ribosomal RNA". It matches the Rfam family "Bacterial small subunit ribosomal RNA", at positions 338 to 795 of the family's 1533-position model. The record is from RNAcentral.